This 349-nucleotide unclassified non-coding RNA is filed under the name soil metagenome. RNAcentral describes it as "partial contains 5.8S ribosomal RNA, internal transcribed spacer 2, and large subunit ribosomal RNA". The stretch from base 1 to 120 matches the Rfam family "5.8S ribosomal RNA", at positions 35 to 154 of the family's 154-position model. The record is from RNAcentral.
GAUGAAGAACGUAGCGAAAUGCGCUAAGUAAUGUGAAUUGCAGAAUUCAGUGAAUCAUCGAAUCUUUGAACGCACAUUGCGCCCGCCAGUAUUCUGGCGGGCAUGCCUGUCCGAGCGUCAUUUCAACCCUCGAACCCCUCCGGGGGGUCGGCGUUGGGGAUCGGCCCCUCACCGGGCCGCCCCCGAAAUCCAGUGGCGGUCUCGCCGCAGCCUCUCCUGCGCAGUAGUUUGCACACUCGCACCGGGAGCGCGGCGCGGCCACAGCCGUAAAACACCCCAAACUCUGAAAUGUUGACCUCGGAUCAGGUAGGAAUACCCGCUGAACUUAAGCAUAUCAAUAAGCGGAGGA